UGACCUCUGUCAUGUUCGCAAUGGAGAUUAUUCUCGAACCGACUCCUUUAGUAACGGGGACCAAAAACCGUUGUUCCAGAGCCGUGUCCCGCUUCGGCGGAACUAGUACUUUUGGCCGACGGUGCGGUUCCCACCUGGGCCCAAGGGUUCAGAAUCCCGUCUUCCAUGCGGCAUUGCGAUGGAGGUCUU
This 189-nucleotide non-coding RNA is filed under the name Planctomycetota bacterium. Its description in RNAcentral is "6S RNA". It matches the Rfam family "6S / SsrS RNA". From Rfam's summary of the family: E. coli 6S RNA was the first non coding RNA to be sequenced, but its function was unknown until recently. Lineage: Bacteria; Pseudomonadati; Planctomycetota. The record is from RNAcentral.